UACGUAGGGUGCGAGCGUUAAUCGGAAUUACUGGGCGUAAAGCGUGCGCAGGCGGUUUUGUAAGCCAGAUGUGAAAGCCCCGGGCUUAACCUGGGAAUGGCAUUUGGGACUGCAAGGCUUGAGUGCGGCAGAGGAGACUGGAAUUCCUGGUGUAGCAGUGAAAUGCGUAGAUAUCAGGAGGAACACCGGUGGCGAAGGCGCUCAUCUGGCCCAAUACUGACGCUGAGGCGCGAAAGCUAGGGGAGCAAACGGG
RNAcentral lists this ribosomal RNA (253 nucleotides) under uncultured bacterium. RNAcentral's name for it is "partial 16S ribosomal RNA". It matches the Rfam family "Bacterial small subunit ribosomal RNA", at positions 524 to 776 of the family's 1533-position model. The record is from RNAcentral.